Penaeus chinensis is the source of this 943-nucleotide long non-coding RNA. RefSeq lists it as uncharacterized. NCBI's taxonomy places the organism in Eukaryota, Metazoa, Arthropoda, Malacostraca, Decapoda, Penaeidae. The transcript has 3 exons. The record is from RefSeq and is a predicted model, not a curated record.
CAAGAUGCAGCUCCAACACGUGGCGACGGAACAAGAAGCAAGCACUUGCAGUUUUCGUUGCGCCCUGUUUCGUCAUACCCAAAGGAUUCUCGAUGAUCGUGUUUAACGUCAUUGGUACUGACAGAGUGGAAAUAUAAUGGCGAUCAGAUAAAGAUUUUUUGCUUUCAGUUCACUUUUGAAAUUGUGCAGCAUAUAACCCUCGGCAACUCUACCCCGGACGAACUCAAACAUGUUGAUCAGCUGAGGAGAUUCGUGCGGUACGACAUUUCAGCUGGCAGCGUUUAUAUACCAGGGAAUUUCGAAGUUCUGAUAUAGGUAACAAAGAUCCACUGAGGUUCUUCUUUCCAAGUGGGAACAUUGCAAAUAACUCGACACGAUGGCUCAUCUACUUGGCAUAACUGACACUGAGAAAUAUGUGAUGAGUGAGAGGGAGAGACUCUAUUACCGAAAGGAGACUCAGAAGGCUCCUCCCCCACCGACCAAACCCAUCUACGUGGCUGAGACUCCCUAUUCUGCCAUCCUGUACAAGCGGGUCUUCCUACACGAUUUUCUGGUACACACGCCUCGUGUACAGGACCAGCGCGGCCUUUAGAUCCUCAACAGAAGCACAUGCAGCAUAUGGAUCUCUGCAAGUGGCACUGUCGACAUUCAAGAGAUAAAUCUGAGUGUCCUUAUGGAAACAUUUACGUCCAUUCCACCCCGGAAAUUUGGAAACCAGUUAUGUGAUUCCCCUGCUCACUACAAGACGUGAAGACGUGUUGCCAUUUUACUGAAAGUCAAUUAUGAGUGUGAAUGUUACUGUCUAGUCAUGAAUGAUGAAUAAAGUCUGAUAUUGUUAUUCUUUUAUAAAGAAAUCAGAAUUCUCACGCGUCAGCAUUGGUAUAAACCCACUCCUUUGUCCAUGGUAUUUUUUUUCCGUUUAUAUUAAACAGUGAAGUUAUUA